CAGUCUCACCACACAAAUUUCAGAUUGUCUGCUGCUUCAGUCCGUCCCUCCUGGUGAGGGUGGAGUCGACUUAAAUGCAGAGGCCCAGUUAUUGGACUGGAUCAAGACAUGCAUUAGCAUGGGGGGGAGAUUUCAUACAACCAAUAAAUCUCACACAAAGAAACCCCCCCCCCCCCAUGCUAAUGCAUCUCUUGGUCCGGUCCAAUCACUGGGCCUCAGCAUUUAAGUCGCCUCCACCCUCAGUCAGACCUUUUGGCCAAACCAGGAAGGAAGGACUGAUGCAGCAGACACACGGUAACUCAAAGACAAGGAGAAUCGUAUAUUACAACAGAAAAAAAAACAAUGUUGUGCCCUUGUUUAGGAAAGUGCAGUGUCAAAUAACAAUAAACAAGAUCCUAAAGGAAAAUUGACUGUUUGUUUUGUGGCUCCGAACAAAGAUUUUGCUUCCUGGUUGUCAUGUGCUGCUGUUUUGUUGAAACAUCUCCUCAUACACAGCUCACUUUGUGCAAGUUCAAGCAUCCCUUACUGGAUUGAAGCUGUAGCCUGCAGGCGGACACUCAACAUGUCCUUGAUGACCAAACCUCAGUCUGCUGCUUUGAUUUUCAUAAUUCUGAACUUGGUUUGAACUCCAACAUUCUUAGUGUCUUUGCUUUGGGGCGCAACCAGUUUGUUUUAAGAGCAGACUCAUUUCUACUCACUUGAUUCUCAAGCCUCAAGACAAACGGAGAACAGGGGCCUCAACUGUAAAUCUUUCAGCUAAAAUUGUAAUUAUUAGGCGACAGUGUUGUGAUUUUGAAGCCGACAUGAAAUCCUUUAGCUGUAAAAAGUAAUUCAAUGAAAAAUGACUGCUCUGGGAGUUUUUUUAAAAGUGGCUCAAGACCUUCAAGACCUUUAAUUUGUUGACACCAUUAAAGAUUUGUGACACACAUUGAUAGUGUUUAUUGUGGAAUUCAAGACAAUUUCAUAGCAUGACUACCACAGUAAUAUUAUAUGGCACGCAAUCCACCAACUGCAAAAAUUCAAGUAGCGUUUUGACAAAAAUCAUAAAUUUCCGAGCAGCAGGUAAUGAGCUGAUCAGGAUCAGGUGUGCCAGGCAGGUAGACCACGCCCACUGCCACACCUGAGCAGGAGGAACUUAGGAAAAACAGAUGAACACAGUCUCACAGUCUGUCCUCCACCAUGAGCCUGACCCUGCGCAGGAACAUCAAGCAUCUCCGCCGUCCUCUUCAACCGGACCAAGGAGCUCGACCUCCGUGCAGAAGAUCUUUGUACAUAAAAAUUGUACAAAGCAACAGUUCAGUAUACGAUGUGACUCGUCACGUCAUAUACUGAACUGUUGUUUUGUAAAAUGCAGAGAGGGACUGUAGUUCAAUUUUAGUGUUGUUGACAGAUAAAAGUUUAGUAUAACCCCCUACUUAUCUUUGUCUCGAGGGGCAGGGGGGCUGACGUUCCCCCGGCAUCAUCACUCCUCAUCCGCAACCUCUCGGGGCCUCCCCCGACUUCAUGACCUUCAUCUGCACACAAUACCACAUCCUGUUAAUACACACAAUCAUGUUCAUAUACUCACCCUCAGCAAUCUUCUCUGGGGUCCCUCCCGACUGUCAUCUCCAUCCGCAGCUCACCCUCUUUACCGACCGGGAUCCGAUACCACUUUGAAUAGGACACGACCGCACCUGAGGCCGUGAACGAACCCACCGCGCCACCCGACGCACUCACUUUGUGGAACGUUUGUUGUACUUCAACUUUGAAUGUGGAGAAUAUUUCCUGAAAAUAUUUAAGUUUCACGUCUGCACCAUUAGUCGUCUAGACAGGGAAGUAUACUGUUCUCUCAGAUGCGUUCCAUUCGCGACUCAUACAAGACUUGAACUCGCGCGCAAGAAUCAAACUUGUGUGUCUGGAUUUGCAUGCAGCUGUUUAACCAGGUGAGCUACUCUACCUGAUGAGUGAUGGCACUGCCCACCCACUCUAUCUGUGUGUGCAUCGAUCUGAAGACCUAAAGUUUUUCUAUCACCUGCAAGAUUUGAAGGUAUCUCUCAGAGUUGAAUUUAUUCACACAAAUCAGAUGUUUAACCAAGUUGGUCCAGUUCUUCACAUUUAAGUUGCUGUCGGCUUCUGAGAGGAAGCACUGAUGAAGUUUCCAUUCAACUAAUGUGUUUUGUACGAUUUAUGUAAAUGAAAACACUGUUAUGAAGUUGACUGAGUGGCUCAGUGAGGUAAAUGUCAGAUUUGAAGUUUUGAGAUUGUUGGUUCAACUCCCAGCUUGUUUGGAGAAAUUUGAAAUUUAUAAACCGAAGUAUACAGUCAAUAUUGGAAGGAAAUAGAAGGUGGACUUAAGAUCAAUCAACUCAGACUGUUACGUGUUAGUUCUGAAACUUUGAAGUGUGCGUUCCAUCUUGAAUUGAACCAACAACCUCAAGAUGUCACGACAGUGAUCGACCUCGCUGAGCUACUCAGCCAGACAGUUGAAAAUUUUCCAGAACUUCUACUUCUACUUCUUCAUUAAAAUCUCAAAUUCAGGCAACUCUGAUGAUACGUGGGAUUCUAGUGAGGUAGAAGUAAAGGGAAAAAAAACAUUUUGGGAGCGAUUGAGUGGCUCAGUGAGGUAAAUGUCAGACUUGAAGUUUUGAGAUCGUUGGUUUGGUUCCCAGCUUGUUUAGAGAAAUUUGAAGUCUAUGACCUAAAGUAUACAGUCAAUAUUGGAAGGAAAUAGAAGGUGGAGUCAAGAUCAAUCAACUCUGACUGUUAAGUGUUAGUUCUGAAACGUUCAAGUGUGCGUUCCAUCUUGAAUAUUGACUGUUUCCUUUGGGUCCUCGACUUCAAAUUUCUCUUAACAAGCCGGUGAUUGAACCAACAACCUCAAGAUGUCGCGACAGUGAUCGACCUCACUGAGCUACUCAGCCAGACAGUUGAGAAUUUUCCGAACUUCUGCUGCUUCACAAAAAUCUCACACUCAAGCAAACUCAACACUUCAAAGAGUUAAGGAAAGUCAGUGGGUUAUGGUCUGUACAGACUAUCACAGAAGCAAGACCAGAAACAAAAUAGACGUCGAAAUGAUGUGAAGCCCAGACCAAAGCCUUGGCCUCCUUUUGAAUGACUGAAUAAUUCAAUUGAUGUGAAUUAGAAACUAACAGGUCUAUCAAUGUUGAGUUCAGUGAGCCUCUGUCUUUGUUCACCACAGAGUGUUGUUGGCCUUUUUCUUGUGGUUUUCUUCCCCUUGUCCUUGUUAGUAUUCUUUAAAAUAGAAGGCCCAGAUUGAUUGCAGUUCAUUCCAUUGGUUCACAAAUGAAAGUUUUAAAUUUUGUGUUAUGUGUUUUGACUCAUUUCUUUUCCUUGAAAUCACCAAUGUAAUGUAUAUGUUGUUGCUGUGAAGUGUUCAGGCUCCCCCCGAGAUUUUGUAAUAUAUAAAUUGAUCUGAUAUACAAUUGUUUUUAAGGCUCUUAUUAAAAACUUAGAAAUAUUUUUAAUAUAGUGAUUAAUUCUCUAUUUGUAGUGUUUAUUAUACCGGAAUUUUCUCAAAUCGUUUGGUCUAUAAAUGGUCAGGUGAAAUUAGCCAUCACAAUAUCUCAAAGUCCAAGGUGGAAACUGUUUUAAAUGUCUAACCCCCACACACUUUCACGAAUAAGUGCAUUCUUUACAUUUGUUACUCAUAUUUGUUUAAUUUUGCCUUACAUGUUUUCUACUGUGUGUAUGGUGUGUGAGUGUUAACCAGUCACUGUAAUCACAUUUAAUCCUCACUUAGCUCCCCCUAGUGGUCAAUGGGAUUUACAGCAGACUGAAAUGUGUAACGAAAAAAAAAAUCAAAUUUGAUAAUAUAGCAGAAUAAACUCAAGUACGUUUCUGGUUGUUUGGACAGUUAAAUAGUUUAUGUUACAGAAACAAACUUCACCCCUGUGGACUCAUUCUUGGUACAUUGCAAGUCGCCGCCCCCUUUUUUCCCUAUACGUUCCAUUGGAAUCCCCCACUUCCGGUUUGCCUGUCGUCAGUUCCGCUAGGAGCCGGCGAACGCGGAACAAAUAUUUGGUGAGAACACCUUCAACUUUGAAUGUGUCGGUGCUGCUCUUUCACUGUUCACAUGUGUUUGAAGGUGAAAACCUGCUCCAUGUGUUUGAAGUGCACAUGAUCUACUGACCCCUGGACCCCGUCAACCCUCAUCCUCAGUUCAUCCGUCUUUACCAUCAAAUCACAAAAAGGGAGCGGGACAAGGGACUUGAUCUGACAACCUUUCGCACAAGAGUCUAAAAUCUUUCCACUGCACCAGCGUCUCUCUGGGAAGGCAUUGGUCCAGUUCUUCACAUUUAACUUGCUGUCGGCUUUUGAGAUGACGAACGGCUAAAGUUUAAGUCAACCUGUUUGUGUUUUGUAUGAUUUAUGUAAAUGUUCAACAUCUUCUCUCAGAAAUAAGUUGAAAUGGCAGUGCUUGCAUUAAAUAUUAUGCAAAGACAUGAAACUUUUAAAGGAUCUCUUGAACAUUUUUGCAGAAAGAUGGAUGAGUAGAGGACUUGACCCAGCCACUCUAAGGUUUAAGGUCAUGGCCAUAAACCACUAGACUACUGAGAAUGUCCAUAUUUAAAAGUCGUUACUCCUAUUUGCCACUUUCCUGAACUGACUGCUCAGUCAAACACCCAAAGUAAACAGUCAAGAUUGAAGCCACACUUCAAAGUUUCAGAACCAACAUUUUCCAGUCUGAGCUAAUUGAUCAGAGGUCCACCAUCCAUUUCCUCCAGAUAUUGAGUGUUAACUUUGGGUCAUUGACUUCAAAUUUCUAAAAGAACAGUCAAUAUAGGAAGAUGGACAUCUGAUCAGUUAGGUCAGACUGUUUAGUAUUAGAUCUGAAGCUUUGAAGUGUGGGUUCAAUCUUGAAUAUUGACUGUUUAAUUUGGGUCAUUGACUUAAACUUUCUCUCAACAAGCUGGGGAUUGAACCAACAAUGUCCAAACUUCAAAUCUGAUAUCUACCUCACUGAGCUACUCAGCCAGCCAGUCAAUAUUUUUUUUUUUUUUACCUUUACUUAUACUUCUUCCUCUUCACAAAAAUCUCAAACAUUGAUCCAUCUACCUCCGAUCUUCCUGUCCAUCAUCUAACAGCUUGAGCCAGUCACAGCCGAGUCAGUGUCUGCAGUCACAACACCCAGAUGAAAGACAUCAUGUACCAUCAGAGUUGCUUGAGCUCGACAUUUCCGUGCAGCACUGGAACUAGAGGUUCAGAGACAUUUGUGAAUGUCUGGCUGAGUAGCUUGGCAAGGUAGAUCACAGACUUUUCAUUUUGAGGUUGUUGGUUCAACCCCCAGCUGGAUUGGAGAAUUUUGAAGUCAAGGAGCCAAAGUUUAAAGUCAAUAUUGGAAGGAAGUAGAAGGUGUGGGUUUAAGUGUGGGUUCAAUCUUGAAUAUUGACUUCAAAUUUCUCUAAAGCAGCUGGGGAUAGAACACACAAUCUCAAAACUCAAAAUCUGACAUCUAACUUACUGAGCUCCUCAGCCAGCCAUUCAAGAAUUCUUAUUUUACAUUUACUUCUACUUCUUCACUUCACUUCCUCACGUAAAGAGCUGGGGAAUUCAAGUCAAGGACCCAAAUUGAAUCAGUGAAGUUGGACACCUGAUCAAAUAGCUCAGCCUGCAAGUGAGGGUUCAAUUCCAAUGACCUUCACAUUAUAAUAUGGAGCGUGAAAACCUCUAAGAGACGCUCAUCAAGCAUCUCAGGUGAUGUUGAAAUGCAAAACCCUUAAUUUGGUCCCUUCUGGGGCUCCAUAAUCCUUUGCGAGUCAUUUUUUUCUCCCAGAGUCGAUCCCAUGGGCAUUUUACAGAAAAGCCUUCAAAGGCUCAGAAUUUGUUUUGUGAAUAGAUGACUUGUUCUUCGUCUGAAAAGAUUUUAUUGAUUGAAUCAUCCUUUUAAAGGUUUGCCCUCAGAAGCAAAAAAGAACCCAGUGUUCACGAGAAUCUGAUUGUCCUGCUUCUCUGCUCGCUCUUUGGAGAAGCUCCUCCAGGUUAAACCAACUUCGGCCAACUGUCAACAGUCUGUCGCGUUGCUAUAGCAACUGCAUUUCAUCCUUCAAACGAGAUGCAACGAAGUUAGGAGUCAAAUUCUCACAGCCUUCCAAAGACAAACGUAGCUGGCGAAAAAAAGAAAGCAGAAAAGACAUUUACAUUAUUUCAAUUCAGGAAAACAAUUUAUCAAAACAGAUAAACGCCGUCGUCUGCUCCCUAUCCCAUGGCCCGGAAUAGUAACCAUCUCUUCUAACAAUUUCUCUGAGAACAACAAUUGCGUUCCGCAUUAAUGAAUGUUCAGAUACCGCAAGUAUAGUGUGCUACUGUCGUGAUGCGGUCUGGGGAUGUUAAUGAAGCCUGUGGAGGGUGCGGGAAAAAAAUUGAAAAUAGUUACAUUAGCCACAACUAAUCCAUUCAAUUCCCAUUAUUUAUUAUUUUUUUAAUACAGGAGGCACAGACAAUGCCUCCUCAUCCUGCAACUGCUUCCUGCAGCUAAAGCUUUUUAGGGGGAAGCCCUAUGGU
Scophthalmus maximus (turbot) is the source of this 6501-nucleotide long non-coding RNA. RefSeq lists it as uncharacterized. Lineage: Eukaryota; Metazoa; Chordata; Actinopteri; Pleuronectiformes; Scophthalmidae. The record is from RefSeq and is a predicted model, not a curated record. The transcript is spliced from 5 exons.